ACAAUGAAGAGUUUGAUCCUGGCUCAGGAUGAACGCUAGCUACAGGCUUAACACAUGCAAGUCGAGGGGCAGCAUUUCAGUUUGCUUGCAAACUGGAGAUGGCGACCGGCGCACGGGUGAGUAACACGUAUCCAACCUGCCGAUAACUCGGGGAUAGCCUUUCGAAAGAAAGAUUAAUACCCGAUGGCAUAAUCAGACCGCAUGGUCUUAUUAUUAAAGAAUUUCGGUUAUCGAUGGGGAUGCGUUCCAUUAGGCAGUUGGUGAGGUAACGGCUCACCAAACCUUCGAUGGAUAGGGGUUCUGAGAGGAAGGUCCCCCACAUUGGAACUGAGACACGGUCCAAACUCCUACGGGAGGCAGCAGUGAGGAAUAUUGGUCAAUGGACGAGAGUCUGAACCAGCCAAGUAGCGUGAAGGAUGACUGCCCUAUGGGUUGUAAACUUCUUUUAUAUGGGAAUAAAGUUUUCCACGUGUGGAAUUUUGUAUGUACCAUAUGAAUAAGGAUCGGCUAACUCCGUGCCAGCAGCCGCGGUAAUACGGAGGAUCCGAGCGUUAUCCGGAUUUAUUGGGUUUAAAGGGAGCGUAGGUGGACAGUUAAGUCAGUUGUGAAAGUUUGCGGCUCAACCGUAAAAUUGCAGUUGAUACUGGCUGUCUUGAGUACAGUAGAGGUGGGCGGAAUUCGUGGUGUAGCGGUGAAAUGCUUAGAUAUCACGAAGAACUCCGAUUGCGAAGGCAGCUCACUGGACUGCAACUGACACUGAUGCUCGAAAGUGUGGGUAUCAAACAGGAUUAGAUACCCUGGUAGUCCACACAGUAAACGAUGAAUACUCGCUGUUUGCGAUAUACAGUAAGCGGCCAAGCGAAAGCAUUAAGUAUUCCACCUGGGGAGUACGCCGGCAACGGUGAAACUCAAAGGAAUUGACGGGGGCCCGCACAAGCGGAGGAACAUGUGGUUUAAUUCGAUGAUACGCGAGGAACCUUACCCGGGCUUAAAUUGCAUUUGAAUAAUCUGGAAACAGGUUAGCCGCAAGGCAAAUGUGAAGGUGCUGCAUGGUUGUCGUCAGCUCGUGCCGUGAGGUGUCGGCUUAAGUGCCAUAACGAGCGCAACCCUUAUCUUUAGUUACUAACAGGUCAUGCUGAGGACUCUAGAGAGACUGCCGUCGUAAGAUGUGAGGAAGGUGGGGAUGACGUCAAAUCAGCACGGCCCUUACGUCCGGGGCUACACACGUGUUACAAUGGGGGGUACAGAAGGCAGCUACCUGGUGACAGGAUGCUAAUCCCAAAAGCCUCUCUCAGUUCGGAUCGAAGUCUGCAACCCGACUUCGUGAAGCUGGAUUCGCUAGUAAUCGCGCAUCAGCCAUGGCGCGGUGAAUACGUUCCCGGGCCUUGUACACACCGCCCGUCAAGCCAUGAAAGCCGGGGGUACCUGAAGUACGUAACCGCAAGGAGCGUCCUAGGGUAAAACUGGUAAUUGGGGCUAAGUCGUAACAAGGUAGCCGUACCGGAAGGUGCGGCUGGAACACCUCCUUU
Molecule: ribosomal RNA, 1529 nt
Filed under: Bacteroides thetaiotaomicron
Lineage: Bacteria; Pseudomonadati; Bacteroidota; Bacteroidia; Bacteroidales; Bacteroidaceae
Description: bacterial SSU rRNA
Rfam family: Bacterial small subunit ribosomal RNA
Source: RNAcentral